GUGCUUGCUUCGGCAGCACAUAUACUAAAAUUGGAAAGAUACAGAGAAGAUUAGUAUGGCCCCUGCACAAGAAUGACACACAAAUUCGUGAAGCGUUCCAUAUUAAA
RNAcentral lists this small nuclear RNA (107 nucleotides) under Mus spretus (western wild mouse). The record is from RNAcentral. Lineage: Eukaryota; Metazoa; Chordata; Mammalia; Rodentia; Muridae.